GAUGUUAUCCAUUCAUCCAUCCAUAUGAUGAUGAUGAUUAUGAUUAUGGUCGUGCGUGACAUCAUCCGUGUUGUGAUAUAUCGAUCAUGUUCGAAUUAUAAAUUUUUUUCUUGUUUGAUUAUGAUGAUGAUGAACAGAAAAGAAACAUGAUUAGAAUACAAUGGCUGUAUUUGUGUGGACCAAAUAGCGUCAAAUCCUUGAUUGAAUGACCGAAUGAAAUAACAACAAAACAACAACAACAACAACAAAAAAUGAAAAUCGGUUCAAAGAUUAAGUCAUCGAAUAAAAGAAAAAAAAACGUUUACAUUGAAAAAAUAUUUGAGGAAACAACAACAAUCGAUCAACUUUUAAGCAACAACAACAAAACUUUUUUUUCGAAAUUCAUUUCGGAUGAUCUGUUUGGCACGACGAAGAUGAUGAUGACGGCGACGACGACGACGAAAAUUUGUCCAUCAAUCGAAGAUGGUUAAAUAAUUUAUUCAAAUCUUUGUCAUUGGUGAUGGUGGUUCUCAACUAAUCUCUGUGGUAUAUAUGCUAAAUCCUGAAUCCUGAAAUGAAAUUCCCAAUGAUCAAAAGGAUUGUCACCCAUUGUGUAAAAAAAAAUCCCUGUUGAAUAUUUAAUCAAUUCCUUUUUGGCCACACAUCAGAAUCAAGAUCACAAAUGACAUAUGAAUAAAAUUAUUUGUCAAACAACAAUGAUCCAACAAAAAAAAUUUUCAACAAAGAGCAUGUAAAAU
Dermatophagoides farinae (American house dust mite) is the source of this 737-nucleotide non-coding RNA. Lineage: Eukaryota; Metazoa; Arthropoda; Arachnida; Sarcoptiformes; Pyroglyphidae. The record is from RefSeq and is a predicted model, not a curated record.